Molecule: small nuclear RNA, 102 nt
Organism: Manis javanica (Malayan pangolin)
Lineage: Eukaryota; Metazoa; Chordata; Mammalia; Pholidota; Manidae
Source: RefSeq, a predicted model, not a curated record
UCGCUUCAGCAGCACAUAUACUAAAUUGGAACAAUUCAGAGAAGAUAAACACAGUCCCUGCACAAGGAUGACACGCAAAUUUGUGAAGUGUUCCAUGUAUUU